This 1172-nucleotide small RNA is filed under the name Pan troglodytes (chimpanzee). RNAcentral's name for it is "retained intron". Lineage: Eukaryota; Metazoa; Chordata; Mammalia; Primates; Hominidae. The record is from RNAcentral.
GUAUAAAAAGGGCCCACAAGAGACCGGCUCUAGGAUCCCAAGGCCCAACUCCCCGAACCACUCAGGGUCCUGUGGACAGCUCACCUAGCUGCAAUGGCUCCAGGCUCCCGGACAUCCCUGCUCCUGGCUUUUGCCCUGCUCUGCCUGCCCUGGCUUCAAGAGGCUGGUGCCGUCCAAACCGUUCCGUUAUCCAGGCUUUUUGACCACGCUAUGCUCCAAGCCCAUCGCGCGCACCAGCUGGCCAUUGACACCUACCAGGAGUUUGAAGAAGCCUAUAUCCCAAAGGACCAGAAGUAUUCAUUCCUGCAUGACUCCCAGACCUCCUUCUGCUUCUCAGACUCUAUUCCGACACCCUCCAACAUGGAGGAAACGCAACAUAAAUCCGUGAGUGGAUGCCGUCUCCCCUAGGCGGGGAUGGGGGAGACCUGUGGUCAGAGCUCCCGGGCAGCACAGCCACUGCCGGUCCUUCCCCUGCAGAAUCUAGAGCUGCUCCGCAUCUCCCUGCUGCUCAUCGAGUCGUGGCUGGAGCCUGUGCGGUUCCUCAGGAGUAUGUUCGCCAACAACUUGGUGUAUGACACCUCGGACAGCGAUGACUAUCACCUCCUAAAGGACCUAGAGGAAGGCAUCCAAACACUGAUGCGGGUGAGGGUGGCGCCAGGGGUCGCCAAUCCUGGAACCCCACUGGCUUCGAGGGCUGGGGGAGAGAAAUACUGCUGCCCUCUUUUUAGCAGUAAGGCACUGACCCAAGAGAACUCACCUUAUUCUUCAUUUCGCCUGGUGAAUCCUCCAGGCCCUUCUCUACACCCUGAAGGGGAGGGAGGAAAAUGGAUGAAUGAGAGAGGGAGGGAACAGUGCCCAAGCACUUGGUCUCUCCUUCUCUUCCUUCACUUUGCAGAGGCUGGAAGACGGCAGCCGCCGGACUGGGCAGAUCCUCAAGCAGACCUACAGCAAGUUUGACACAAACUCGCACAACCAUGACGCACUGCUCAAGAACUACGGGCUGCUCCACUGCUUCAGGAAGGACAUGGACAAGGUCGAGACAUUCCUGCGCAUGGUGCAGUGCCGCUCUGUGGAGGGCAGCUGUGGCUUCUAGGUGCCUGCGUGGCAUCCUGUGACCGACCCCUCCCCAGUGCCUCUCCUGGCCCCGGAAGGUGCCACUCCAGUGCCCACCA